RNAcentral lists this ribosomal RNA (385 nucleotides) under uncultured bacterium. RNAcentral's name for it is "bacterial SSU rRNA". It matches the Rfam family "Bacterial small subunit ribosomal RNA", at positions 28 to 412 of the family's 1533-position model. The record is from RNAcentral.
GAUGAACGCUAGCGGCAGGCUUAAUACAUGCAAGUCGAGGGGCAGCGGGGUAGCAAUACUGCCGGCGACCGGCAAACGGGUGCGGAACACGUACGCAACUUUCCCAGAACUGGUGAAUAGCCCUCCGAAAGGAGGAUUAAUACACCGUAACAUAAUGGAGUGGCAUCACUUUAUUAUUAUAGCUCCGGCGGUUCUGGAUGGGCGUGCGGCUGAUUAGGUAGUUGGCGGGGUAACGGCCCACCAAGCCUUCGAUCAGUAACUGGUGUGAGAGCACGACCAGUCACACGGGCACUGAGACACGGGCCCGACUCCUACGGGAGGCAGCAGUAAGGAAUAUUGGUCAAUGGACGCAAGUCUGAACCAGCCAUGCCGCGUGCAGGAUGAA